This 292-nucleotide ribosomal RNA is filed under the name uncultured bacterium. Its description in RNAcentral is "partial 16S ribosomal RNA". It matches the Rfam family "Bacterial small subunit ribosomal RNA", at positions 505 to 796 of the family's 1533-position model. The record is from RNAcentral.
GUGUCAGCCGCCGCGGUAAUACGGGGGGGACGAGCGUUGUUCGGAUUUACUGGGCGUAAAGGGCGCGUAGGCGGGUCUUCAAGUCGGAUGUGAAAACUAUCAGCUUAACUGGUAGCCUGCAUUUGAUACUGUUGAUCUUGAGUACGGGAGAGGAGAGUGGAAUUCCAGGUGUAGCGGUGAAAUGCGUAGAUAUCUGGAAGAACACCAGUAGCGAAGGCGGCUCUCUGGACCGAUACUGACGCUCAAGCGCGAAGGCUUGGGGAGCAAACAGGAUUAGAUACCCGCGUAGUCC